Long non-coding RNA from Canis lupus familiaris (dog), 1025 nucleotides. RefSeq lists it as uncharacterized. The record is from RefSeq and is a predicted model, not a curated record. The transcript is spliced from 2 exons. Lineage: Eukaryota; Metazoa; Chordata; Mammalia; Carnivora; Canidae.
UUCUAUAUAAGUCCCUAGACUUCCCCUGGAACUUUCCAGCGGUGCUUGGUCACGAUCUUGCUUCCCCUGCCCUUUCAGCUGGUCUCCUUGGGGAGCGGCUGCUGUGCUGAUUCUCAGGUCUGUGAACCUGUGGGAGCUGCCCCGCCCCCUGCCAAGUUCAUGGCUCAAUGGGAGCUGUUUAUCCUGUGAUGUGUCUGCUCCCUGGCUGCUCAGCUCCAUCCCAGGCACAGGGUGACAGGAGGAGGAGCAACAACAGCGGUGGUGGCCAGCUCUCCGGCUCUGAAGUCAGGUCCAGCAGUAACUUCCACAGCUCCCAGUCCACAGGGGCCUGGUUGUUCCUGGGGCAGGGGCGGGGGCUGCUGAUCUGUACAGCUUCGGGGCACUUUGUGGCCGGAGUGUCCCUGCUCUCCUGUGUCCUCCCGGCCUCCACCUGCCCCAGGGGAGCAUAGGAUCUUGGGCUAUGUCCCCUGGUGCCUUGUGCUCCGGGGCCUGCACUGCUGUAAUCAAGCUCCCAGGCUGUGCUGCCCUACAACCUGCAGAGCCGGUUAGUUAGGAGUGAUUGAUUGAUUUGGGGGAGAGAAAGGGAAAGGGAUGGAAAUAGAGAACAUGAGUGGGGACAGGGUUAGAAUGAGAAGUAGGCUACCCAUGAGCUAUAACACAACAUGGAGCUGAAUCCUGAACAUGGGAUCAUACCUUGUACACAAGGUGGACAAUUAAGUGACUGUUUCACUAGUAACGUUGAUAUCAUUAAGUAUCACUUCCAUUCAGAUCAUCUGGAAGAGAGUAAUGACCAAAGGAUCAUAGGGUGCAUCUAGAAGGACACAGAGUACCCAUCAGUACAUUUUUAUGCCACUCAAGAAUAACUCAGGUCAUGAUCUCUGGAUCCUGAAAUUGAACCCCAUGUUGAGUUCCGCAUUGGCUAUGGAGUCUGCUCUAGAUUUUCUUUUUCCCUCUGCCCCUCCUCUCCUCAUACUUUCUCUUUCUGCCUUAAAAAAAAUAAUAAAAUGAAUCAUUAUUCUAGUUUA